AACGAACGCUGGCGGCAUGCCUAACACAUGCAAGUCGAACGGGAUCCUAGCUUGCUAGGUGAGAGUGGCGGACGGGUGAGUAACACGUGGGAAUCUGCCUUUUGGUUCGGGAUAACCGCGGGAAACUGCGGCUAAUACCGAAUGCCCUCGAGAGAGGAAAGAUUUAUCGCCAGAAGAGGAGCCCGCGUCCGAUUAGGUAGUUGGUGGGGUAAAGGCCUACCAAGCCGACGAUCGGUAGCUGGUCUGAGAGGAUGAUCAGCCACACUGGGACUGAGAUACGGCCCAGACUCCUACGGGAGCAGCAGUGGGGAAUAUUGGACAAUGGGGGGCAACCCUGAUCCAGCAAUGCCGCGUGAGU
Molecule: ribosomal RNA, 358 nt
Filed under: uncultured bacterium
Lineage: Bacteria
Description: bacterial SSU rRNA
Rfam family: Bacterial small subunit ribosomal RNA
Source: RNAcentral